This is a long non-coding RNA of Symphalangus syndactylus (siamang), 476 nucleotides long. RefSeq lists it as uncharacterized. Lineage: Eukaryota; Metazoa; Chordata; Mammalia; Primates; Hylobatidae. The record is from RefSeq and is a predicted model, not a curated record.
UCUAUCAUGAAUUUGGUUGCUUUGUUUAUCCCUAAAUAAGCGUAUCUUUCUCCAUGUCACCAUACUGGAGGUCUUCUUGAUCCCUGCCUCAAGAAAUGAGUUGACAUCAGAAGGUCAUCUAUGAUGAACUAUUAACUGAGAAUAUUUGGAGAGCAGAAGGAAAAUGAUAACCAUGGAUUUUUGUGAUAAGAGGAGCCAUUCUGAAUGAGGCAUCAAUUGAGUUGAGACUCACACAAAAGAAAAAUCUCCCUUUGCAGACACCAGGAAGUCUGAAACUGAUUCCAUCUGGUUUGUCUGUGAUGUAUAACAUUACUGGGUCAUUAGUCUUUGCCUUUGCUCAAAGCUAACUCUAGCAUCUGGACUGGCAAUGUCAGAGCCCUCACAGGCAUCCCCACACCAACAAUUCUGUAGCCCAUGUGGGAGAAGACCUUUGACUUCAAAGGCUGAAAGAGAAUCAAUAAAAAACCUUUUGGCUC